GUGUAGCAAACACGCAAAAAAAAAGGGCUAAAAACAGAUACUAAAAGUGAAACAAAUAUUCAUAGAUAUACAGGCUUCCAAAGCAGCAAGGAAUCCUAGGGCUACAAAUGAGCCAAGUUGCCCAUGAGCUACUUGGAGCUUGGCUUGAAAAUUUUAACUCAAGUUUGUUUGUUAAAAUUAAUUAACUCAUUCUUAAGGUCAGUCUAAUAAUUGAGUCAAGCUUGAGCUAAGUAAAACUCGGCUUAUUUAGGCUCGUGAGCCAGCACAUUUGUAAGCAUGUAUAUAAAUUUGUUAAUAAUCUGAUUUCAAUGCUAAAUUUUAUAAUAUGCAUAAGAAUACUCAAAAUUGUUCAUUAAAAAAGUCAUAUUGAAUAUAAAAGUUCUCAAUUUUAUGAUAUAUACUCAUAUUAUAAUCCUUAAAGGUUACAUAUUUUAUCAUACAAAUUAUAUAAAAGAACAAGUAUUGGUAAGUGCAUUAAAAUUUUAAAAUAAAAAUUGUAAUUUUGUUGAAUUAUUCUGUGAACAUGUAUUACAACUUCUAUUGAGAAAGUUUGGUUAGUUUCUGCUUGUUUAACAAAUGACCAACAUAUGAACACGGUUAUGCCCAGGUUGGCCUGACUGGUUUAGUAAAUGAGCCAAUUGAGCCAAGCCUAACUGCCUAAGCCCAAAUGCAUGGUUCAUUUUGUAAACAAGCCAAAGCUAAGCUCAUCCAGCUCAGGCUUGGCUCAGCUUAUUUGCAAUCCUAGAUGAUCCAGUGCAACAUGUGAUAUGUGAUGGUGACACUAUCGAUAUUUGCAGAGCAAACCAAAAGAAAGGUCAUGAAAAGUUACAAUGUAUUUAGAAGUGGAGGUAUCAUUAUAACUCCACAUUUCAGUUGAGUCAUGUAACAGCCAUGCACAUUUAUCAUCCCAA
Molecule: unclassified non-coding RNA, 911 nt
Filed under: Hevea brasiliensis (rubber tree)
Lineage: Eukaryota; Viridiplantae; Streptophyta; Magnoliopsida; Malpighiales; Euphorbiaceae
Source: RNAcentral